UAAUACAUGCAAGUCGAGCGGACAGAAGGGAGCUUGCUCCCGGAUGUUAGCGGCGGACGGGUGAGUAACACGUGGGUAACCUGCCUGUAAGACUGGGAUAACUCCGGGAAACCGGAGCUAAUACCGGAUAGUUCCUUGAACCGCAUGGUUCAAGGAUGAAAGACGGUUUCGGCUGUCACUUACAGAUGGACCCGCGGCGCAUUAGCUAGUUGGUGGGGUAAUGGCUCACCAAGGCGACGAUGCGUAGCCGACCUGAGAGGGUGAUCGGCCACACUGGGACUGAGACACGGCCCAGACUCCUACGGGAGGCAGCAGUAGGGAAUCUUCCGCAAUGGACGAAAGUCUGACGGAGCAACGCC
This 359-nucleotide ribosomal RNA is filed under the name Bacillus sp. (in: firmicutes). RNAcentral's name for it is "bacterial SSU rRNA". It matches the Rfam family "Bacterial small subunit ribosomal RNA", at positions 49 to 398 of the family's 1533-position model. The record is from RNAcentral. Lineage: Bacteria; Bacillati; Bacillota; Bacilli; Caryophanales; Bacillaceae.